Molecule: unclassified non-coding RNA, 249 nt
Filed under: Khuzistan(Iran) sugarcane white leaf phytoplasma
Lineage: Bacteria; Bacillati; Mycoplasmatota; Mollicutes; Acholeplasmatales; Acholeplasmataceae
Description: partial 16S-23S ribosomal RNA intergenic spacer
Rfam family: tRNA (bases 91-166)
Source: RNAcentral
CCUCCUUUCUAAGGAAACACCAAUAAAAUCAAUCAUCUUCAGUUUUGAAAGACUUAGGCAACCAAGUUUUUCUUCGUGAACCUUCACGAAGGGCCUAUAGCUCAGUUGGUUAGAGCACACGCCUGAUAAGCGUGAGGUCGGCUUGGUUCAAGUCCAUUUAGGCCCACCAGAGUUAUAGGUUUCGUAAGGACACAAAUUCUUUGCGAAAAUUAGGUAAAUAAUAGUUAUUUAUCCGGAACAUUAAAGGAA